GUGUAUGGCUGUGCGCCCCGUUCUCGGAAGCGUCGACGGGUUUCCGGCAUGCGGAUUUCAGCGUUUGGACUCUACUUUUGGUGAGGAUGUCGAUCGACCUUGGGCCUGGCGACAGCACACCCGACAUCGCCAAAGUGCAGCCUAUCAGUUGAGUGCCCCCGAAUGGACCAUCAACAUUGGAAAAUGAAGCAGAGCCAGGGGGAAAAGGUUCCGGUAACACUGCAUUCAGUAUGGUGGCCCAGACGUGUAUGCAAGCAACCUCCUUCAUGUGGACCAAGAACUACUCUGCAGUGUCUCACAGACUUCCAUGCGAAGCCCUCAACAUUCUCGUCUCAGUGGAAUGGCUGCUCAUCUAUCUGCGUGUCCAUCACCAAGAUGGCCAGUUGUAAAGCUCCUGUACCCGUUUAAGACAGCUUAAUGAUUUUUUUUAUUUAGUUUUCAUGGUUAGCCGUAGAAUCUUAACAUUUUUGAUGUUUCUAACGUUUUUACCUGGCCCAAAGUGGUGCAAUAACUUUAAACCAGUGUAAUGUAUUUAAGUGAUGCUCACUCUAAUGCCUAUCUGGUUUUGUUUGUGUUUAAGAAAUUUGAAUGUCUGAUGAGGUAACAGCAUUUAAACUUGUCAUCGUGGCUCUUUUCAGUGAGCUGCUAGGAAAUAAGAUGCAAAACUUAUCACACGCCAGUUGUAGCAUUUUUGUUUUCAAGACUAAAGUAUACAUGUUUCAAAAGAUGGAAAGUGGGGAAAAAAGCCUCAAGAACAUAAUCAUCCUAGGAUUGUCAUGUCCUUACAACUCUGCAAUGGCUAAUGCCUCAUACAUCUUGGGAGCACAUUGGUCGCAAUGCCUACAGGUAUACUUGAUAAGAGAAUAGCUUGCACUCAGAUUUUCCACGCACUACUAUGUU
Non-coding RNA from Dermacentor albipictus, 900 nucleotides. NCBI's taxonomy places the organism in Eukaryota, Metazoa, Arthropoda, Arachnida, Ixodida, Ixodidae. The record is from RefSeq and is a predicted model, not a curated record.